AUGGUUCACGUAACUAACGGACACUUCCUCUGUGGGAAUAAUAUCUUUCAGCAAAUCGUAUUACAGAUAAUACAGCUGCCAGCUUCCAUUAUCCUCAGCUCAAUCAUCAUCUGUAUAAUAGUUCGAGAUCAAGACGAAAAAGAGAGAGGAAAAGCUGUAUACAUAGGGAGGCCCAUCUUUGCUGUCCCCUGGCCCGCCUCUCACUGUCAGUCACUUGUAGCUGGAGUGACCAGUGAGGCAGCAGCAGCUUGUAGCUAUAGCUGCCUUCUCCCCACGGGAAACCAAAAUUCGAUUCCAACACGCACGCGCACGCGCACGCGGAAGCAUCGCACCUCCGAGCGGCUGAGCUCCAGGGUCAGGGCCAUGGAGCGGCGGAGAAGGGGCGGCUGCUUCUGCUUGCUCGCCGUGGCGGUAGUGGUGGUGGCGGCGGCGGCGGCCGUCGGCGAGGCGAAGCUGUCGCCGGACCACUACCGCAGGACGUGCCCGCGCGUGGAGUCCAUCGUGCGGUCGGCGGUGGCCAGGAAGGUGAGGGCGACCUUCGUCACCGUCCCAGCCACCCUCAGGCUCUUCUUCCACGACUGCUUCGUCCAGGGCUGUGACGCGUCGGUGAUGAUCGCGUCCAGCAGCAACGACGCCGAGAAGGACGCGCCGGACAACCAGUCCCUCGCCGGCGACGGCUUCGACACCGUCGUGCGCGCCAAGGCCGCCGUCGAGAAGGCCUGCCCCGGCGUCGUCUCCUGCGCCGACAUCCUCGCCCUCGCCGCCCGCGACGUCGUCUCCAUGUCGUCGGGCCCGAGCUGGACGGUGGAGCUCGGCCGGCUGGACGGGCUCGUCUCCAAGGCCGGCGACGUCACGGGCAGGCUGCCAGGCCCGGACAUGCAGCCGGACGCCAUCACCGUGCUGUUCGACGGCAACGGCCUCGCCGUGCACGACAUGGUCGCGCUCUCGGGCGCGCACACCGUCGGCUUCUCCCACUGCGCGCGCUUCGCGGGGCGGCUCUAUCGGCGCGGCGCGGUGGACCCGUCGUUGAGCCCGUCGUACGCGCGGCAGCUGAUGGCGGCGUGCCCGCCGGACGUCGACCCGACCAUCGCCGUCGACAUGGACCCCGUCACGCCCACCGUCUUCGACAACAAAUACUACGCCAACCUCGCCGCGGGCCUGGGGCUGUUCGCCUCCGACCAGGCGCUGCACGACGGCGCCGCGUCGCGGCCGGCCGUGCAGGGGUUCGCCGGGAACCAGACGCUCUUCUUCGAGGCGUUCAAGGAGGCCAUGGUUAAGCUCGGGAGGGUCGGGGUGAAGAGCGGCGGCGACGGGGAGAUCAGACGAGACUGCACCGCAUUCAACAGCAAGUAG
RNAcentral lists this ribosomal RNA (1353 nucleotides) under Triticum aestivum (bread wheat). Its description in RNAcentral is "partial small subunit ribosomal RNA". The record is from RNAcentral. Lineage: Eukaryota; Viridiplantae; Streptophyta; Magnoliopsida; Poales; Poaceae.